RNAcentral lists this ribosomal RNA (485 nucleotides) under Scopulariopsis brevicaulis (arsenic fungus). RNAcentral describes it as "eukaryotic LSU rRNA". It matches the Rfam family "Eukaryotic large subunit ribosomal RNA", at positions 50 to 540 of the family's 3401-position model. Lineage: Eukaryota; Fungi; Ascomycota; Sordariomycetes; Microascales; Microascaceae. The record is from RNAcentral.
GCGGAGGAAAAGAAACCAACAGGGAUUGCCUUAGUAACGGCGAGUGAAGCGGCAACAGCUCAAAUUUGAAAUCUGGUCCCCUUUGGGGGCCCGAGUUGUAAUUUGAAGAGGAUGCUUUUGGCGAGGCGCCGUCCGAGUUCCCUGGAACGGGACGCCGCAGAGGGUGAGAGCCCCGUACGGUCGGACGCCGAGCCUCUGUAAAGCUCCUUCGACGAGUCGAGUAGUUUGGGAAUGCUGCUCAAAAUGGGAGGUAAACCCCUUCUAAAGCUAAAUACUGGCCAGAGACCGAUAGCGCACAAGUAGAGUGAUCGAAAGAUGAAAAGCACUUUGAAAAGAGAGUUAAAAAGCACGUGAAAUUGUUAAAAGGGAAGCGCUUGCGACCAGACUUGCGCCCGUCGGAUCAACCGUCGCUUGCGGCGGCGCACUCCGGCGGGCUCAGGCCAGCAUCAGUUCGUCCGGGGGGAGAAAGGCGGCGGGAAUGUGGC